RNAcentral lists this ribosomal RNA (497 nucleotides) under uncultured bacterium. RNAcentral's name for it is "partial 16S ribosomal RNA". It matches the Rfam family "Bacterial small subunit ribosomal RNA", at positions 28 to 507 of the family's 1533-position model. The record is from RNAcentral.
GACGAACGCUGGCGGCGUGCCUAAUACAUGCAAGUAGAACGCUGAAGAGAGGAGCUUGCUCUUCUUGGAUGAGUUGCGCACGGGUGAGUAACGCGUAGGUAACCUGCCUUGUAGCGGGGGAUAACUAUUGGAAACGAUAGCUAAUACCGCAUAACAAUGGAUGACACAUGUCAUUUAUUUGAAAGGGGCAAUUGCUCCACUACAAGAUGGACCUGCGUUGUAUUAGCUAGUAGGUGAGGUAACGGCUCACCUAGGCGACGAUACAUAGCCGACCUGAGAGGGUGAUCGGCCACACUGAGACUGAGACACGGCCCAGACUCCUACGGGAGGCAGCAGUAGGGAAUCGUCGGCAAUGGGGGCAACCCUGACCGAGCAACGCCGCGUGAGUGAAGAAGGUUUUCGGAUCGUAAAGCUCUGUUGUAAGUCAAGAACGAGUGUGAGAGUGGAAAGUUCACACUGUGACGGUAGCUUACCAGAAAGGGACGGCUAACUACGUG